Long non-coding RNA from Aegilops tauschii subsp. strangulata, 1104 nucleotides. RefSeq lists it as uncharacterized. Lineage: Eukaryota; Viridiplantae; Streptophyta; Magnoliopsida; Poales; Poaceae. The record is from RefSeq and is a predicted model, not a curated record.
CAAAUCAAAUCACCGACGGACAUCACUGGAAUCGAUCUGGCGGGGGCGCGAGGCGGCUGCUGCUGGCGCCGUCCACCUCCUGCGCCUCUCACGCUUCUCAGCCCCACCACCCACCACCAUGACGCACCUCCACCUCAACGUCAUCUCUGCCCCUUGCCCGUGUCCUCCAACGCCGACCUCGGCAAGCACGCCGUCGAUGUCGUCCGUCUACGGACGCCUCUCCUGCGUCCUCGUCUAACACCGCAGUUCGAGCACUCCCAUCACCGCCACCUCCCCGUGCUCCUCGUCAUCCCCUCCACUCCUCCCAUCUCCUUUGUUACCAGCCACCAAAGUACGCCGCCGGCGCCGUUAGUGCCACAACGCCUCUCCUACCUCCACCCUUUAUUGAUCCAGCAGCCGUACUUCCCACUCCCACCACCUCCACUUCCUCAUCGCCGUCUCCUCCGACACUGACCUCCGCAGGGUUGUGGCAGCAAGGGCGAGGUGCAUGAUAGUGACACAAAGAUGGGCGAGCAUGGGGAAUGUAGGAACCUGCAAGGUGUUGUGCCGCAGUUACUGCUGCAAGGAUGACUAUGGCGGCAACUGUUUGCACAAUAACUAAUUCAUGGCAUAGCAAAGGUUUCCUGCCAGGACCAUUGCCUCCAGUUUCUUGAUGUACGUUGACCAUUUAUUUCUAAGAUGUAACAUAUACCAAGGCACCUAUCUGAUGCACUGAGAGGGUGUGGUGAGUGGAGUGGAGGUAUGUGGUGCACUGAGAGGGUGAAGUAGAGCCUGAAAGUUUGUCCAAUUUCCUGCGCUUGGGGACGCACUGCUUUGUAGAAAAGUUGGAUACUAUGAUUUUGUAUAGUGAUGGGAGAUAGUCUUUGAUACUCUACUUAAUUUGUGGCGGGGGAGAUAUAUGUCAUGUUACUGCUGUCAUAUUCUUGUGUGUCUAAGCUUAAUAAUAAUUGAUUAGACUGUUAAUUUUCCGUGACGCAACUUCAUGACGACGCGUUUCUCGUGUCGAGGCAUGUAUGUUUCAUGAGACUAUUGGUUUUAAGAAACAAAAUCAUGUGAUAUUUUUCAUUGGUAAUGCAGUGCACAAUAAAGACCUGAUUUUAAUUU